This 2160-nucleotide ribosomal RNA is filed under the name Salmonella enterica subsp. enterica serovar Stanley. RNAcentral's name for it is "partial 23S ribosomal RNA". It matches the Rfam family "Bacterial large subunit ribosomal RNA", at positions 655 to 2796 of the family's 2925-position model. Lineage: Bacteria; Pseudomonadati; Pseudomonadota; Gammaproteobacteria; Enterobacterales; Enterobacteriaceae. The record is from RNAcentral.
GAAUAGGGGAGCCGGAGGGAAACCGAGUCUUAAUUGGGCGUUAAGUUGCAGGGUAUAGACCCGAAACCCGGUGAUCUAGCCAUGGGCAGGUUGAAGGUUGGGUAACACUAACUGGAGGACCGAACCGACUAAUGUUGAAAAAUUAGCGGAUGACCUGUGGCUGGGGGUGAAAGGCCAAUCAAACCGGGAGAUAGCUGGUUCUCCCCGAAAGCUAUUUAGGUAGCGCCUCGUGAAUUCAUCUCCGGGGGUAGAGCACUGUUUCGGCUAGGGGGCCAUCCCGGCUUACCAACCCGAUGCAAACUGCGAAUACCGGAGAAUGUUAUCACGGGAGACACACGGCGGGUGCUAACGUCCGUCGUGAAGAGGGAAACAACCCAGACCGCCAGCUAAGGUCCCAAAGUCAUGGUUAAGUGGGAAACGAUGUGGGAAGGCCCAGACAGCCAGGAUGUUGGCUUAGAAGCAGCCAUCAUUUAAAGAAAGCGUAAUAGCUCACUGGUCGAGUCGGCCUGCGCGGAAGAUGUAACGGGGCUAAACCAUGCACCGAAGCUGCGGCAGCGACACUGUGUGUUGUUGGGUAGGGGAGCGUUCUGUAAGCCUGUGAAGGUGUGUCGUGAGGCAUGCUGGAGGUAUCAGAAGUGCGAAUGCUGACAUAAGUAACGAUAAAGCGGGUGAAAAGCCCGCUCGCCGGAAGACCAAGGGUUCCUGUCCAACGUUAAUCGGGGCAGGGUGAGUCGACCCCUAAGGCGAGGCCGAAAGGCGUAGUCGAUGGGAAACGGGUUAAUAUUCCCGUACUUGGUGUUACUGCGAAGGGGGGACGGAGAAGGCUAUGUUGGCCGGGCGACGGUUGUCCCGGUUUAAGCGUGUAGGUGUGUGUUCCAGGUAAAUCCGGUUCACUUUAACACUGAGGCGUGACGACGAGGCACUACGGUGCUGAAGCAACAAAUGCCCUGCUUCCAGGAAAAGCCUCUAAGCAUCAGGUAACAUCAAAUCGUACCCCAAACCGACACAGGUGGUCAGGUAGAGAAUACCAAGGCGCUUGAGAGAACUCGGGUGAAGGAACUAGGCAAAAUGGUGCCGUAACUUCGGGAGAAGGCACGCUGACACGUAGGUGAAGUGAUUUACUCAUGGAGCUGAAGUCAGUCGAAGAUACCAGCUGGCUGCAACUGUUUAUUAAAAACACAGCACUGUGCAAACACGAAAGUGGACGUAUACGGUGUGACGCCUGCCCGGUGCCGGAAGGUUAAUUGAUGGGGUCAGCGCAAGCGAAGCUCCUGAUCGAAGCCCCGGUAAACGGCGGCCGUAACUAUAACGGUCCUAAGGUAGCGAAAUUCCUUGUCGGGUAAGUUCCGACCUGCACGAAUGGCGUAAUGAUGGCCAGGCUGUCUCCACCCGAGACUCAGUGAAAUUGAACUCGCUGUGAAGAUGCAGUGUACCCGCGGCAAGACGGAAAGACCCCGUGAACCUUUACUAUAGCUUGACACUGAACAUUGAGCCUUGAUGUGUAGGAUAGGUGGGAGGCUUUGAAGCGUGGACGCCAGUCUGCGUGGAGCCGACCUUGAAAUACCACCCUUUAAUGUUUGAUGUUCUAACGUGGACCCGUAAUCCGGGUUGCGGACAGUGUCUGGUGGGUAGUUUGACUGGGGCGGUCUCCUCCUAAAGAGUAACGGAGGAGCACGAAGGUUGGCUAAUCCUGGUCGGACAUCAGGAGGUUAGUGCAAUGGCAUAAGCCAGCUUGACUGCGAGCGUGACGGCGCGAGCAGGUGCGAAAGCAGGUCAUAGUGAUCCGGUGGUUCUGAAUGGAAGGGCCAUCGCUCAACGGAUAAAAGGUACUCCGGGGAUAACAGGCUGAUACCGCCCAAGAGUUCAUAUCGACGGCGGUGUUUGGCACCUCGAUGUCGGCUCAUCACAUCCUGGGGCUGAAGUAGGUCCCAAGGGUAUGGCUGUUCGCCAUUUAAAGUGGUACGCGAGCUGGGUUUAGAACGUCGUGAGACAGUUCGGUCCCUAUCUGCCGUGGGCGCUGGAGAACUGAGGGGGGCUGCUCCUAGUACGAGAGGACCGGAGUGGACGCAUCACUGGUGUUCGGGUUGUCAUGCCAAUGGCACUGCCCGGUAGCUAAAUGCGGAAGAGAUAAGUGCUGAAAGCAUCUAAGCACGAAACUUG